RNAcentral lists this ribosomal RNA (718 nucleotides) under Boletus subluridellus. RNAcentral's name for it is "eukaryotic LSU rRNA". Lineage: Eukaryota; Fungi; Basidiomycota; Agaricomycetes; Boletales; Boletaceae. The record is from RNAcentral.
UCUGAGGGGNANNANGGGGAGUGCAGACUGUCGCUGGCCUGAUCAGGGCAUGUGCACGUCUAGCUUUUCGUCGACCUUUCUCUCAUACACACACCUGUGCACCCAUUGUAGGUCCUCGAAAGAGGAUCUAUGUUUUUCRCAUCACACCCGUCGUAUGUCUAUAGAAUGUAUUGAGAACGUCGACCUGUUUGACAGGCAGGCGGUCCAUAAAAAUCAUACAACUUUCAGCAACGGAUCUCUUGGCUCUCGCAUCGAUGAAGAACGCAGCGAAUUGCGAUAAGUAAUGUGAAUUGCAGAUUUUCAGUGAAUCAUCGAAUCUUUGAACGCACCUUGCGCUCCUUGGUAUUCCGAGGAGCAUGCCUGUUUGAGUGUCAUCGAAUUCUCAACCAUGUCUUGAUUGAUUUCGAGGCAUGGCUUGGAGUUGGGGGUUGCUGGCGGCGAAACGCCGUCGGCUCUCCUGAAAUGCAUUAGCAAAAGGGCGGCGAGUCUCUUGACGUGCACGGCCUUCGACGUGAUAAUGAUCGUCGUGGCUGGAGCGUUUGGGGAACAUGCAUGAAUCGUCCACUGCUUCCAAUCCCUAAUCCCCUCUAGCCUUUGAGUCACUUAGCUACUAGCUGGUCGUGAGGCCGGCGAACGUUGGGCGGCCAAGGCUUANGCUUGGGUGUUUCGAAACUUGACCUCAAAUCAGGUAGGACUACCCGCUGAACUUAAGCAUAUC